Molecule: unclassified non-coding RNA, 300 nt
Filed under: Ascomycota sp.
Lineage: Eukaryota; Fungi; Ascomycota
Description: partial contains 5.8S ribosomal RNA, internal transcribed spacer 2, and large subunit ribosomal RNA
Rfam family: 5.8S ribosomal RNA (bases 1-71)
Source: RNAcentral
GUGAGUCAUCGAAUCUUUGAACGCACAUUGCGCCCGCCAGUAUUCUGGCGGGCAUGCCUGUCUGAGCGUCAUUUCAACCCUCAUACCCCUAGGGUGUGGUGUUGGGGAUCGGCCAAGGCCCGCAAGGGACGGCCGGCCCCUAAAUCUAGUGGCGGACCCGUCGUGGCCUCCUCUGCGAAGUAGUAAUAUUCCGCAUCGGAGAAGCGACGAGCCCCUGCCGUUAAACCCCCAACUUUCUAAGGUUGACCUCAGAUCAGGUAGGAAUACCCGCUGAACUUAAGCAUAUCAAUAAGCGGAGGA